RNAcentral lists this ribosomal RNA (253 nucleotides) under uncultured bacterium. RNAcentral describes it as "partial 16S ribosomal RNA". It matches the Rfam family "Bacterial small subunit ribosomal RNA", at positions 524 to 776 of the family's 1533-position model. The record is from RNAcentral.
UACAGAGGGUGCGAGCGUUCAUCGGAAUUACUGGGCGUAAAGGGCGCGUAGGCGGUUUAUCAAGUGAGAUGUGAAAUCCCCGGGCUUAACCUGGGAACUGCAUCUUAAACUGAUAGGCUGGAGUACUGUAGAGGAUAGUGGAAUUUCCGGUGUAGCGGUGAAAUGCGUAGAGAUCGGAAGGAACAUCAGUGGCGAAGGCGACUGUCUGGACAGAUACUGACGCUGAGGCGCGAAAGCGUGGGGAGCAAACAGG